GGAGUUUGGUCCGUGUCUCAGUACCAAUGUGGGGGACCUUCCUCUCAGAACCCCUACUGAUCGUCGCCUUGGUAGGCCGUUACCCCACCAACCAGCUAAUCAGACGCAGACCCAUCGCAAAGCGAUAGCUUACAAGUAGAGGCCAUCUUUAAUCAAGCUCCCAUGCGGAAACUUGACAACAUUCGGUAUUAGCACCCCCUUUCGGGAUGUUGUCCCCCAUCUUUGCGGCAGGUUGUCUACGCGUUACUCACCCGUUUGCCACUCGGUUCUCAAAAGCAAGCUUUCAAUCACCUCGUUCGACUUGCAUGUGUUAAGCACGCCGCCAGCGUUCGUCCUCGAGCCACUGAUCAAACUACU
Molecule: ribosomal RNA, 357 nt
Filed under: Pseudoselenomonas ruminantium
Lineage: Bacteria; Bacillati; Bacillota; Negativicutes; Selenomonadales; Selenomonadaceae
Description: Selenomonas ruminantium partial 16S ribosomal RNA
Source: RNAcentral